GGCCGCAAGGUUAAAACUCAAAUGAAUUGACGGGGGCCCGCACAAGCGGUGGAGCAUGUGGUUUAAUUCGAUGCAACGCGAAGAACCUUACCUGGUCUUGACAUCCACAGAACUUUCCAGAGAUGGAUUGGUGCCUUCGGGAACUGUGAGACAGGUGCUGCAUGGCUGUCGUCAGCUCGUGUUGUGAAAUGUUGGGUUAAGUCCCGCAACGAGCGCAACCCUUAUCCUUUGUUGCCAGCGGUCCGGCCGGGAA
Molecule: ribosomal RNA, 253 nt
Filed under: Escherichia coli
Lineage: Bacteria; Pseudomonadati; Pseudomonadota; Gammaproteobacteria; Enterobacterales; Enterobacteriaceae
Description: partial 16S ribosomal RNA
Rfam family: Bacterial small subunit ribosomal RNA
Source: RNAcentral